This 2817-nucleotide long non-coding RNA is filed under the name Sus scrofa (pig). RNAcentral's name for it is "lncRNA (ENSSSCG00030029769.1)". Lineage: Eukaryota; Metazoa; Chordata; Mammalia; Artiodactyla; Suidae. The record is from RNAcentral.
GGGCUAUCCUGUGUUUCCUUUAUGCCUUAUGCAUUUAAGCUAUUUUUUUCUGAAUGUACAAACCUUGCACUUCCUUCAUCAAUAUCACCAGGGCUCUUCUAUUAGAUCUGAUCUUAUUAGAUCAAAAUUUAAAUAUAGGAUAGAAAACCUAGUAUUUCUAGCAAGCUCUAGAAAUGCCGAUCAUCCCAUAUGAACAUUAAUGAUUGAUACUAUUUUUUUGGCCAUGCCUGUGGUGUGUGGAAGUUCCCUGGUCAGGGAUCAAAGCUACAGCAGCGACCAGAGCUAUGGCAAUGACAACACUGGAUCCUUAACCCACUCUGCCACAAGGGAACUCCCAAUGAUUGAGACUAUUGCUUUAAGAAAAUAUUUUGCAAAUAUAAAUGAUUAAGGAAAGGGCUGGAAGAAUAAGAAAUAGAGUGGCCAAACUACUCCUGAAGAAAGAGUUUUAACUAAAGAAACACCCCCCCCGCCCCCAUCACUGAGGAGGCAGCUACAUGCCUGACAGCAGCUUUGCUCGCCCCAUACCACCCUUCUUGUAAUGUUAUAGCAACUAUGUACCUUAUGUCCUUGCUAGCAGCCCUGCUAACCCUGCUCCAAGCAUUGUUUAUCAGUUUCACUUUUGUAAUCUUAUUUGCUCAGCUUCUUAGGCAGGAACUCUGCCUCUCGGGAAGGGGGAGGGCUGGGUCUGCUUGCAUAGGAAAACCUUGAGACCAGGAAGUCUGCGUUGUAUAAAAGCUAUCCAGAACAAAGACCUCGUGCUCAGACUCUGGAGGCAGCUCCUCUGAGCCCGCACUGGUGCCAAAUAAACCUGGCUAUUCCACAUCUCUGAGUACCGCUUAUCUCUUUCUGCUGCCACGGUUUCUGCAACACUCCCAGUAAUUCAUGUUGAUGGAUUGAACUAAGCGAAUUUCCAAGAUUGUAAAUUGCAGACUGUGGAGAUGACAGGAGCAGGAGUCCUUCUGUGGAGGUUGGGGUAGGAGCUAAUUAAAUAGAGGGGAGAUAGAGAAUGGGACCCUAGGAAGUCAUUCCUCCUUUCUGUGCUUGUAAAGAUAGGCUUGGGCAGAACAAAAGAGAAAAAGGUAAAAAGGGAAGAGAGCAAGACAGUUUGUGGUGUCUCACAGGGAGGAAAAACAGAUUUCAGUUUACCUAAAAAACCAAAGCCUUUCCUUGCUUUCCUUCCAGAUCACUCUCCUCCCACCCGCUGCCUCCCUGAGGGCUGUAACCUCGCCUGUUUUUUCCUUGUUGUUGCCUCCCAGCAGAAAUCUGUGAGUGUACUGGUCGCAUCAUCUGCAGGGAAGGACAUGGCUUACGCUUUGAGUAACUACUCUUCCUUGCAUGUAGUUGAACCUGGGAAGGGAAUGGUGCCAUAUGGAGGAGACUGUGCCCCUCUUGUCACCUAUAUGCUAGGGGAUCUGUAUUGAAUGUAGGGUACUGCAUUAUCUUGAUCUCAGGAGACAAAGAUACUCCUUAAACUGGAGUUAGCCUUACCUUAAAGGAUGAGAUCAUUUCUUUGACCAGCAAUCUCUUUCUUAUCAAAUGUCCUCUCUCUGGUCCACAACAGAAUAGGAAGCCCAUAGGGAACCUUCUGGUUUUAACUUGGGCUUUUGACGUUGCCUUUGAAGAAUAUCCUGGAGCUUGAUCCAGAACAGCCAAAUAUAAGAUGACAAUUCCCAUAAGGGGACCAGCCAGGAGCUGGGAGAGCAGGAACUUUGGCAAGGAGUCUGUGAUAUUAUUCCAGGCAGAGAGAGAAAACAAUACACUAAUUUUUUUUUUUUUCGAUCAAAGCAAACUGGAAAAUUUGGAACUGCACUGUUCUAAUUUGGAGUUCUUAGAAAAUAAUGGGCCUGGGAGUAUAGUCUGGGUGGCUUAAUUUGUUUCCAGCAAUACCUCUAAGGAAUGUUUCACACUGGUGGUUUAGUUUCUCUGCCCUGUGGCCCCAGCUACCUUUUUUUGUUUUCAUGCCUUUUGAUUCUCUUAUGUGUAACUGUUGUUUUUUGUUUUGUAUUGUUUUGUUUUGUUUUUUAAGGUGUAUGCAUCACUUAAAAAAAAAAAAACCUUAAUUUUUUUUUUUUUUUGUCUUUUUAGGGCCACACCCACGGCAUAUGGAAGUUCCCAGACUAGGGGUUGAAUCAGCACUGCAGCUGCCAGUCUAAGGUACAGCCACAGCCACAUGCUGGAUCUGAGCCUCAUCUUCGACCUAGGCCACAGCUCAUGGCAACGCCAGAUCCUUAACGCAGUGAGCAAGGCCAGGGAUCUAACCUGCAUCCUCAUGGAUACCAGUUGGGUUCGUUACUGCUGAGCCACAACGGUAACUCCCAAAUUAUUUUUUUUAUUAUGCCAAGAAAACAACAUGAGAUCUACCUUUCUGACAAGUUUUUGAGUGCACACUACUGUUAGCUAUGGGCAUGAAGUUGUACAGCAGAUCUCUAGAACCUUUUUUUGUGUUUGUGUAACUGAAACUUUGUACCAUUGAACAGCAGUUCCCCAUUUCUUCCUCCUCCAAGACCUGGCAACUACCAUUCUAUUCUGUUUCUAUGAAUUUACUAUUUUAGAUACCUCAUAUAAGUGGAAUCAUUCAGUAUUUCUCCAUCUGUGUCAGGGUGAUUGCAUUUAGCAUAAUUUCCUCCGGGUUCACCCAUGUUGUCACAUAUACCAGGAUUUCCUUCUUAUUUAAGGCUGAAUAAUAUUCCAUUGUAUGUAUAAACCACAUUUUCUUUAUCCAUUCAUCUAUCGUGGACAUUUAAAUUGUUUCUAUAUCUUGUCUGUUGUGACUAAUGCUGCAAUAAACAUGAGAGAACAGAUAGCUCUUUGAGAUCC